CAGGCUGUAGGCAAUGGGACCUCCAAAGGAGGCACCCUGUUGAAAUUGGAGGCUCUGCAGGAGAGGGCAGCCAGGGCACGGAGUGUGGAGGUGCCCCUGUAGGAGGAGAAGGUGCUGGUGGUGGACGACGUCACGGCGGUGGUCUAGGUGGUGGUUGAGGAGAAAGCCGACAUGGAGCGGCAGGUGGAGGACCAGUGAACACAGCCUGGCCCUGGCCCCAGCAUGCCCCAGCCGGCCACAGAGUCGCUGGAGGUCCUUCACAGGGAGCUGGGCUCCGUGAAUGCCCCAGGCCACAUGCCCUGCCCAUGGCUGAGGCAGAAGCUUUGUCAGAAGUGUCUGCCUGGCCUGGAGGGCACAGGGGCCAUCAUCCAGGGCAUCUCCGGCUUCUAGGCCAGAGCCAUAGCCGCACACCCAGAUGUCGGCAGGUUUCAGAAACCAUGAGGAAGUCCUGCUAAGUGUGGAGGAACUCAGCCAUCCAGGGUACUGGUGGCAGGAUGAAGUGUUCCUUUUGUCACAGUCUUUAUUUCCACAAUGAAGUGAUCUUUAAGGAAUAUCGUGUUGGCAUCCUGAGCUUCUUCCGCUGGUUGGCUGACCGUGACCACUAAAGGUCAGCCAGGAUUGCUGAGAUCAUUCAGGGCCUCUGUCUCAAUCCCCCUGCAGCACUACCGGAAGGAGUUAGGCCCUCAGAGAGGAAACAGAG
This 700-nucleotide long non-coding RNA is filed under the name Homo sapiens (human). RNAcentral describes it as "non-protein coding lnc-DAZ1-3:1". Lineage: Eukaryota; Metazoa; Chordata; Mammalia; Primates; Hominidae. The record is from RNAcentral.